This 496-nucleotide ribosomal RNA is filed under the name uncultured bacterium. RNAcentral describes it as "partial 16S ribosomal RNA". It matches the Rfam family "Bacterial small subunit ribosomal RNA", at positions 29 to 507 of the family's 1533-position model. The record is from RNAcentral.
AUGAACGCUGGCGGCGUGCCUAAUACAUGCAAGUCGCGCGAACGGACGAGAAGCUUGCUUCUCUGAUGUUAGCGGCGGACGGGUGAGUAACACGUGGAUAACCUACCUAUAAGACUGGGAUAACUUCGGGAAACCGGAGCUAAUACCGGAUAAUAUUUUGAACCGCAUGGUUCAAAAGUGAAAGACGGUCUUGCUGUCACUUAUAGAUGGAUCCGCGCUGCAUUAGCUAGUUGGUAAGGUAACGGCUUACCAAGGCAACGAUGCAUAGCCGACCUGAGAGGGUGAUCGGCCACACUGGAACUGAGACACGGUCCAGACUCCUACGGGAGGCAGCAGUAGGGAAUCUUCCGCAAUGGGCGAAAGCCUGACGGAGCAACGCCGCGUGAGUGAUGAAGGUCUUCGGAUCGUAAAACUCUGUUAUUAGGGAAGAACAUAUGUGUAAGUAACUGUGCACAUCCUGACGGUACCUAAUCAGAAAGCCACGGCUAACUACGUG